GCAGGGGGAUGCUUACACAUGCAGUCGAGCGGCAGCAUGCCCUUCGGGGUGAUGGCGAGCGGCGGACGGGUGAGUAAUACAUAGGAAUCUGCCCUAGAGUGGGGGAUAGCCCGGGGAAACUCGGAUUAAUACCGCAUAAUCUCUACGGAGCAAAGUGGGGGAUCUUCGGACCUCACGCUUUAGGAUGAGCCUAUGGCCGAUUAGCUUGUUGGUGAGGUAACGGCUCACCAAGGCCACGAUCGGUAGCUGGUUUGAGAGGAUGAUCAGCCACACUGGGACUGAGACACGGCCCAGACUCCUACGGGAGGCAGCAGUGGGGAAUAUUGGACAAUGGGCGAAAGCCUGAUCCAGCAAUUCCGCGUGUGUGAAGAAGGCCUUAGGGUUGUAAAGCACUUUAAUCAGGGAAGAAAAAGCUUUGGCUAAUAUCCAAAGCCUUGACGGUACCUGAAGAAUAAGCACCGGCAAACUCUGUGCCAGCAGCCGCGGUAAUACAGAGGGUGCGAGCGUUAAUCGGAUUUACUGGGCGUAAAGCGUGCGUAGGAGGCUUGUUAAGUCGGUUGUGAAAUCCCCGGGCUCAACCUGGGAACUGCAGUCGAUACUGGCAAGCUAGAGUUCGGUAGAGGGUGGUGGAAUUUCCGGUGUAGCGGUGAAAUGCGUAGAGAUCGGAAGGAACACCAAUGGCGAAGGCAACCACCUGGGCCUGAACUGAC
Molecule: ribosomal RNA, 710 nt
Filed under: Algiphilus sp.
Lineage: Bacteria; Pseudomonadati; Pseudomonadota; Gammaproteobacteria; Nevskiales; Algiphilaceae
Description: bacterial SSU rRNA
Rfam family: Bacterial small subunit ribosomal RNA
Source: RNAcentral